GAGUUUGAUCCUGGCUCAGGACGAACGCUGGCGGCGUGCUUAACACAUGCAAGUCGAACGAUGAAGCCUUUCGGGGUGGAUUAGUGGCGAACGGGUGAGUAACACGUGGGCAAUCUGCCCUUCACUCUGGGACAAGCCCUGGAAACGGGGUCUAAUACCGGAUAACACUCCUGCCUGCAUGGGUGGGGGUUAAAAGCUCCGGCGGUGAAGGAUGAGCCCGCGGCCUAUCAGCUUGUUGGUGGGGUAAUGGCCCACCAAGGCGACGACGGGUAGCCGGCCUGAGAGGGCGACCGGCCACACUGGGACUGAGACACGGCCCAGACUCCUACAGGAGGCAGCAGUGGGGAAUAUUGCACAAUGGGCGAAAGCCUGAUGCAGCGACGCCGCGUGAGGGAUGACGGCCUUCCGGUUGUAAACCUCUUUCAGCAGGGAAGAAGCGAAAGUGACGGUACCUGCAGAAGAAGCGCCGGCUAACUACGUGCCAGCAGCCGCGGUAAUACCUAAGGCGCAAGCGUUGUCCGGAAUUAUUGGGCGUAAAGAACUCGUAAGCGGCUUGUCACGUCGGAUGUGAAACCCGAGCUUAACCUCCGGUCUGCCUUCAUCCGGGCUUACUUAGAGUGUGGUAAGGGAAAUUCGGAAUUCCCUGGUGUACCGGUGAAAUGGCCAAAUUCCCGGAGGAACACCGGUGGCCAAGGGGGAUCUCCUGGGCCCUUUAAGGCCCUUAAGAACCAAAACCUGGGGA
Molecule: ribosomal RNA, 742 nt
Filed under: Streptomyces vinaceus
Lineage: Bacteria; Bacillati; Actinomycetota; Actinomycetes; Kitasatosporales; Streptomycetaceae
Description: bacterial SSU rRNA
Rfam family: Bacterial small subunit ribosomal RNA
Source: RNAcentral